Molecule: ribosomal RNA, 426 nt
Filed under: Triticum aestivum (bread wheat)
Lineage: Eukaryota; Viridiplantae; Streptophyta; Magnoliopsida; Poales; Poaceae
Description: partial small subunit ribosomal RNA
Source: RNAcentral
AUGUCUGCCUAUUUUUCACCUCCCUAUCUCAUUUACAUUUUUACGAACAGGUUUAGGAUGUCUCGUAAUUUGUUUAAUCGCAUAGCUGAAACUAUACUUCAACAUGAUUAUGAUGGUUAUUUUACGCAAAAAAGAAGUUCUUGUGGACUUCUUGGGUUGCAUCCGUUGCAAAAGAUGACCGCAACAAUGCGAAUGCUAACUUAUGGAAUAGCAGCUGAUAGUGCCGAUGACUACAUCCGGUCUGCAGAAGCUACUAAUCUAGAGGCUUGCAAGAAGUUUGUGAUCAAAAUUUGUGAAGUCUUUGGGAACCAAUACCUGAGAUCUCCAAAUGAAGAAGAUACUACAAGAUUACUUGCAAUAGGGGAGGAAAGAGGAUUCCCUGGUAUGUUAGGGAGUAUAGAUUGUAUGCACUGGGGUUGGAAAAAU